RNAcentral lists this ribosomal RNA (414 nucleotides) under uncultured Funneliformis. RNAcentral describes it as "partial 28S ribosomal RNA". Lineage: Eukaryota; Fungi; Glomeromycota; Glomeromycetes; Glomerales; Glomeraceae. The record is from RNAcentral.
GAGAGUUAAACAGUACGUGAAAUUGUUGAAAGGGAAACGAUUGAAGUCAGUCAUACCAACGGGAAAUCAACCUUUUGAGCUCGGUCUCGUGGGUUUUGAAGAGUUUCAAAGCCUUCGGAUUCGCGGGAUUGGGAUCUCUUGGUGUACUUUUUCGUACGGUUAGUCAACAUCGGUUUUGAAUGUCAUAAAAUGACUGGAGGAAUGUAGCUUCGAUCUCGUAUUGAAGUGUUAUAGCCUUUGGUAGAUGUGAUGUUUGAGACCGAGGAUUGCAACGGAUACCCUUCAGGGCUAUUCGUCUGAUCUCUGAUACGUUGCCCUGAUGUUGAAAGCUUGCUUAUGAUGUUAGGGUAUUACGGUCAAAAGGUUAGAACGAAUUACAUUCGUUAAGGAUGUUGACGUAAUGACUUUAAACGA